AAUCAAUUGACUAGUAUAUUACAGGUUCUCUCCAGAUGGUGAUAUUAUACUUUUAGAUCCACUUGACAAGUGGGGGUGAAUUCUUUAUAUAGAUGGUGAGUCAAUGGAGGCUUCCUUGUUCUUGAAUCUGAGGCCAUUUGUUCUAGUACAAUGCACACGACUGAGUAGUAUAGCGAUUCCAAGAAGGCUCUUCCCUUCCACAACCUGUUCCAACUCUUGAUGUGAGGCCCUACUUCCAGCAAAUCAGCAUCUAAUGGCGGAUCCAGUGACCAUGCUAGGCAUGAAAGCCAUAGGAUGGGUAACAGCGCCUAUCGUCUCUGAGCUUUUCAAGAAAUGCGCCAACUACCUGAGCUUUCACGCGUCAGAGAAGUUACGACAGCUUGGUCCAAAAGUUUUGCUGAUCGAGCGGGCUAUGGAGGUAUUUGAGGAGUUCCCCAACAGGUCUCGUGUGGAGCAGUUCUUCAACGAUCUUAAGAAUGCUUUCUAUGAAGCCGAAGACAUCUUGGAUGACAUUGAGUAUCAUUGUCUCGAGAAAAAAGAUCCAAGAUGACAAGUUCAAAUCAGAUGGCAUAAGAGAUGCUGGCUGAAAAACUCCUGCCCAAGGCUCCCCCCCUAAAAAAUAAGGCUACUGGUAUAUCAAAGAAGGAUUUGAAAGAAAGGUUAGAGAAGAUAGACGAUAUUCUAAACAAUGCAUACAAAUUUGUAGAACAUCUCAAAUUUAUCGACCGUGAUUAAUUUCAAUGGAAGCCAAGCUGCUCCUGCUAGUUCGGAAGGCGCAGUCACUACGGGGGGCCCUCCCCCAAUAGUAUUCGGGUGAGAUAAAGAGAGUGACAAGAUCGCGGAAAUGCUUCAUGAGAAGGAAUGUGAUGGUCAGCCAAAUACCAACAGUGGUUUAUGUUAAUCUGUAAUUGGUCUUCAUGGCAUUGGCGGGUCUAGGAAAACUACCCUUGCGCGGUUAGUUUAUGCCCCUGAGAAGGACAAGCAAGAAAAAAAAGUAUUUUGACCUUG
Molecule: RNA transcript, 1008 nt
Organism: Triticum urartu
Lineage: Eukaryota; Viridiplantae; Streptophyta; Magnoliopsida; Poales; Poaceae
Gene name: disease resistance protein RGA2-like
Source: RefSeq, a predicted model, not a curated record